UCCAGACUCCUACGGGAGGCAGCAGUGGGGAAUAUUGGGCAAUGGGCGCAAGCCUGACCCAGCAACGCCGCGUGAAGGAAGAAGGCUUUCGGGUUGUAAACUUCUUUUGUCAGGGACGAAGCAAGUGACGGUACCUGACGAAUAAGCCACGGCUAACUACGUGCCAGCAGCCGCGGUAAUACGUAGGUGGCAAGCGUUAUCCGGAUUUACUGGGUGUAAAGGGCGUGUAGGCGGGACUGCAAGUCAGAUGUGAAAACCCGCGGCUCAACCGCGGAACUGCAUUUGAAACUGUUAGUCUUGAGUACCGGAGAGGUCAUCGGAAUUCCUUGUGUAGCGGUGAAAUGCGUAGAUAUAAGGAAGAACACCAGCGGCGAAGGCGGAUGACUGGACGGCAACUGACGGUGAGGCGCGAAAGCGUGGGGAGCAAACAGGAUUAGAUACCCCUGUAC
RNAcentral lists this ribosomal RNA (449 nucleotides) under uncultured bacterium. Its description in RNAcentral is "bacterial SSU rRNA". It matches the Rfam family "Bacterial small subunit ribosomal RNA", at positions 330 to 793 of the family's 1533-position model. The record is from RNAcentral.